UACGAAGGGGGCUAGCGUUGCUCGGAAUCACUGGGCGUAAAGGGCGCGUAGGCGGCGUUUUAAGUCGGGGGUUAAAGCCUGUGGCUCAACCACAGAAUGGCCUUCGAUACUGGGACGCUUGAGUAUGGUAGAGGUUGGUGGAACUGCGAGUGUAGAGGUGAAAUUCGUAGAUAUUCGCAAGAACACCGGUGGCGAAGGCGGCCAACUGGACCAUUACUGACGCUGAGGCGCGAAAGCGUGGGGAGCAAACAGG
RNAcentral lists this ribosomal RNA (253 nucleotides) under uncultured bacterium. RNAcentral's name for it is "partial 16S ribosomal RNA". It matches the Rfam family "Bacterial small subunit ribosomal RNA", at positions 524 to 776 of the family's 1533-position model. The record is from RNAcentral.